Molecule: ribosomal RNA, 772 nt
Filed under: uncultured Acidobacteriota bacterium
Lineage: Bacteria; Pseudomonadati; Acidobacteriota
Description: bacterial SSU rRNA
Rfam family: Bacterial small subunit ribosomal RNA
Source: RNAcentral
AGAGUUUGAUCCUGGCUCAGAAUCAACGCUGGCGGCGUGCCUUAUACAUGCAAGUCGAGCGCGAAAGUGGACUUCGGUCCACGAGUAGAGCGGCGAACGGGUGAGUAACGCGUGGGUGAUCUACCCUCGAGUGGGGAAUAACACCGGGAAACUGGUGCUAAUACCGCAUGACAUCUUCGGUUCGAUCCGAAGAUCAAAGCUGGGGACCUAAAGGCCUGGCGCUUGAGGAGGAGCCCGCGUCCGAUUAGCUUGUUGGUGGGGUAAUGGCCUACCAAGGCUUCGAUCGGUAGCCGGCCUGAGAGGGCGGACGGCCACACUGGGACUGAGACACGGCCCAGACUUCUACGGGAGGCAGCAGUAAGGAAUUUUUCGCAAUGGGGGAAACCCUGACGAAGCAACGCCGCGUGGAGGAUGAAGGCCCUCGGGUCGUAAACUCCUGUCAAUCGGGAAGAAUGCACACGGGCCAAUACCCCGUUGUGUUGACUGUACCGGUGGAGGAAGCCACGGCUAACUCUGUGCCAGCAGCCGCGGUAAGACAGAGGUGGCAAGCGUUGUUCGGAAUUACUGGGCGUAAAGGGCGCGCAGGCGGUUCGUCAAGUCCCGUGUGAAAGCCCCCGGCUCAACUGGGGAAUUGCGCGGGAAACUAGCGAGCUUGANUUCGGGAGANGGAAGCGGAAUUCCGGGUGUNNCGGUGAAAUGCGCANAUAUCCGGANGAACAUCAGUGGCGAANGCGGCUUCCUGGACCNAUANUGACNCUGANGCCCGAAAGCC